UACUCCUACGGGAGGCAGCAGUGAGGAAUAUUGGUCAAUGGACGAAAGUCUGAACCAGCCAAGUAGCGUGCAGGAUGACGGCCCUCCGGGUUGUAAACUGCUUUUAGUUGGGAAUAAAAAAAGGGACGUGUCCCUUAUUGUAUGUACCUUCAGAAAAAGGACCGGCUAAUUCCGUGCCAGCAGCCGCGGUAAUACGGAAGGUCCAGGCGUUAUCCGGAUUUAUUGGGUUUAAAGGGAGCGUAGGCGGAUUGUUAAGUCAGCGGUUAAAGGGUGUGGCUCAACCAUACAUUGCCGUUGAAACUGGCGAUCUUGAGUGCAGACAGGGAUGCCGGAAUUCGUGGUGUAGCGGUGAAAUGCUUAGAUAUCACGAAGAACUCCGAUCGCGAAGGCAGGUGUCCGGGCUGCAACUGACGCUGAGGCUCGAAAGUGUGGGUAUCAAACAGGAUUAGAUACCCUGGUAGUCCACACAGUAAACGAUGUAUACUCGCGGUUUGCGAUAGACAGUAAGCCGCCAAGCGAAAGCAUUAAGUAUACCACCUGGGGAGUACGCCGGCAACGGUGAAACUCAAAGGAAUUGACGGA
RNAcentral lists this ribosomal RNA (582 nucleotides) under uncultured bacterium. RNAcentral's name for it is "bacterial SSU rRNA". It matches the Rfam family "Bacterial small subunit ribosomal RNA", at positions 334 to 917 of the family's 1533-position model. The record is from RNAcentral.